RNAcentral lists this ribosomal RNA (559 nucleotides) under uncultured bacterium. RNAcentral describes it as "bacterial SSU rRNA". It matches the Rfam family "Bacterial small subunit ribosomal RNA", at positions 366 to 918 of the family's 1533-position model. The record is from RNAcentral.
GGACAAUGGGGGCAACCCUGAUCCAGCAAUGCCGCGUGUGGGAUGAAGGCCUUCGGGUUGUAAACCACUUUUGGCGGGGGCGAAAUAUCGAGUGCUAAUACCAUUCGGUGAUGACGGUACCCGCAGAAUAAGCACCGGCUAACUACGUGCCAGCAGCCGCGGUAAUACGUAGGGUGCAAGCGUUAAUCGGAAUUACUGGGCGUAAAGCGUGCGCAGGCGGUUAAGUAAGACAGGUGUGAAAUUCCCGGGCUCAACCUGGGAACUGCAUUUGUGACUGCUUGACUAGAGUGCGGCAGAGGGGAGUGGAAUUCCGCGUGUAGCAGUGAAAUGCGUAGAUAUGCGGAGGAACACCGAUGGCGAAGGCAACUCCCUGGGCCUGCACUGACGCUCAUGCACGAAAGCGUGGGGAGCAAACAGGAUUAGAUACCCUGGUAGUCCACGCCCUAAACGAUGUCGACUAGUUGUUGGACGGGUUACUGUUCAGUAACGUAGCUAACGCGUGAAGUCGACCGCCUGGGGAGUACGGCCGCAAGGUUAAAACUCAAAGGAAUUGACGGGG